UGUACUGUCUGUAGGCCCCCGAGGACCGAAUUGGAAAACACUGUUUUAGAAGAAUUACAUACUUGUGUCUGUCACAGGAACAGUGGCACAGUGUACGAUUGUGUAUGUGACAAAAUAAAACUUGAAGCCUGAAAAUGCCUAAUGAACUCUGCAAGCACAGAGAAGUCAAAGACCUGCUAAAAGGUUUACACACGCUGAGAAUGCAGCAUGUUCUCCUGAAGCAGUGCAGAUCUUGCAGCGUGUGUCAUGCUAAAUAAUGAGGCUGUCAUUCAAAGCACCAUUCCGUAUAUCAGUUGGAGAAAUAGAUGAUGCCACUCUGGCUGUUUACAUUCCAACGUAUGGCUACACGGCGUUUCUGGAUGGAAAGACACAGAAGAGGUGAAGUUAAUCUAACACGAGUGUCUUUAUUUGAAAAACUUAGAAGACAGACGGCCACAAAAAUCAACACAAAGAUCAAGACUCUACAAAGGAAUAUUCUAUGCAUUCAACAAAGAUGCAUCUAAGACAAAAUAAAAGGGCCUUGAAAAUGACAAAAAAUAUGUAAGGUGAUUAAUCGUAAAUUCGUAAUGCACGUAGAGCCGCAGAGCGAUGUAAUGUAUGUGUAUGGCUGAUACCCAGUAAAAAUCUGCGUUACCUGAACGUUGGUAUUUUGUAGUGAUUAUCAUGUUGUGAAAGUGCACAAACACAAC
Molecule: long non-coding RNA, 689 nt
Organism: Paramormyrops kingsleyae
Lineage: Eukaryota; Metazoa; Chordata; Actinopteri; Osteoglossiformes; Mormyridae
Source: RefSeq, a predicted model, not a curated record